UUUUAUAUGUAUUUAAUUAAAAUUUUCAAUGUAAUAUGGUAUCACAAAAACAUCUCAGAUUGUAUAUAUUAUACAUUAUUAUAUUUCAAAGGAUAUCAAAAAAUUUUAAAACGUUCUGACAUAAAAUUCUAUUCUCCAGCAUUGUUUUAUUUUAAGACACAAACUGUAGACACCCAGAAUUCAGAUCAGAUGCAAGGUGUUACUCUCUCACUUCAUCGAAAAUUACAAAAGAAAUUUGAACAGAGUGACACCUUAAAAGGAAAAUAAAUGAUAGAAAAUAUAUGAUCAAACAAAGAAUGUUAAGAAAACACAAAGUUUGGACCUUUGGGAAAGUAUCACUCCAUACAUAUUGCUAUUAUAUUAUAAUGUUGUUAAAAGAAUUUUGUUUUCUUGCCAAUAAUGAAGAAAAAUUCAUUUCCAUUGGAAGGAGGCAGAAAUUUAUCUAAGUUUCACAUCAAUACAAAAACAGGAAAAGAGAAAUCAGAUCAACACAGGACAUUCAUUAAUUAUCAAAUUAAAUGUGCUCCUAACGUUAGUGCAGGAAAUCUUUUAUACGCAACAGCGGAUGCUGAAAGACAUAUAUAGAUGAAGGAAGGGGGGAGAAAAACAAGUUAUUAGUGACAAGACAGUGAUUAAUUGGAGAGUCGCUUAGUGGUCACCGAACAAACCAGACAUCUCCGUGGGUCACUCUGAGGUAUCCACACAGACCAGACAUCUCCAAGAGUCUGCUCACAGAUUCUGGACAGAAGGUGGAAAAAAUGUAGCAGAGAAGAAUGAUUCUGUGUUCCAUCCUGUUGGUGGAUAUCUGACAAGGAC
RNAcentral lists this long non-coding RNA (816 nucleotides) under Androctonus crassicauda. The record is from RNAcentral. Lineage: Eukaryota; Metazoa; Arthropoda; Arachnida; Scorpiones; Buthidae.